CCUGUGUUGGGUCGGUCCUUCCCGGGGCACCUUGCUGAUAGGUAGUCAAGCACGCGAGCUGCCCAGUGAAGGGCUUUCCGAAUCAGGA
Molecule: microRNA precursor, 88 nt
Filed under: Daphnia pulex (common water flea)
Lineage: Eukaryota; Metazoa; Arthropoda; Branchiopoda; Diplostraca; Daphniidae
Description: microRNA dpu-mir-745 precursor
Gene: dpu-mir-745
Source: miRBase by way of RNAcentral